Molecule: ribosomal RNA, 251 nt
Filed under: uncultured bacterium
Lineage: Bacteria
Description: partial 16S ribosomal RNA
Rfam family: Bacterial small subunit ribosomal RNA
Source: RNAcentral
ACGUAGGGGGCAAGCGUUAUCCGGAUUUACUGGGUGUAAAGGGAGCGUAGACGGAAGUGCAAGUCUGGUGUGAAAGCCCGAGGCUCAACCUCGAGACUGCUCUGGAAACUGUGCAGCUAGAGUGCAGGAGAGGUAAGUGGAAUCCCUAGUGUAGCGGUGAAAUGCGUAGAUAUUAGGAGGAACACCAGUGGCGAAGGCGGCUUACUGGACUGUAACUGACGCUGAGGCUCGAAAGCGUGGGGAGCAAACAG